UCGAGCGGCAGCACAGAGGACUUGUUCCUUGGGUGGCGAGCGGCGGACGGGUGAGUAAUGCCUAGGAAAUUGCCCUGAUGUGGGGGAUAACCAUUGGAAACGAUGGCUAAUACCGCAUGAUGCCUACGGGCCAAAGAGGGGGACCUUCGGGCCUCUCGCGUCAGGAUAUGCCUAGGUGGGAUUAGCUAGUUGGUGAGGUAAUGGCUCACCAAGGCGACGAUCCCUAGCUGGUCUGAGAGGAUGAUCAGCCACACUGGAACUGAGACACGGUCCAGACUCCUACGGGAGGCAGCAGUGGGGAAUAUUGCACAAUGGGCGCAAGCCUGAUGCAGCCAUGCCGCGUGUAUGAAGAAGGCCUUCGGGUUGUAAAGUACUUUCAGUCGUGAGGAAGGUGGUGUUGUUAAUAGCAGCAUCAUUUGACGUUAGCGACAGAAGAAGCACCGGCUAACUCCGUGCCAGCAGCCGCGGUAAUACGGAGGGUGCGAGCGUUAAUCGGA
RNAcentral lists this ribosomal RNA (497 nucleotides) under Vibrio sp. PAS46. RNAcentral's name for it is "bacterial SSU rRNA". It matches the Rfam family "Bacterial small subunit ribosomal RNA", at positions 62 to 549 of the family's 1533-position model. The record is from RNAcentral. Lineage: Bacteria; Pseudomonadati; Pseudomonadota; Gammaproteobacteria; Vibrionales; Vibrionaceae.